Molecule: ribosomal RNA, 597 nt
Filed under: uncultured bacterium
Lineage: Bacteria
Description: bacterial SSU rRNA
Rfam family: Bacterial small subunit ribosomal RNA
Source: RNAcentral
AAUGCUUAGGAAUCUGCCUAUUAGUGGGGGACAACGUUCCGAAAGGAACGCUAAUACCGCAUACGCCCUAAGGGGGAAAGCAGGGGAUCUUCGGACCUUGCGCUAAUAGAUGAGCCUAAGUCAGAUUAGCUAGUUGGUGGGGUAAAGGCCUACCAAGGCGACGAUCUGUAGCGGGUCUGAGAGGAUGAUCCGCCACACUGGGACUGAGACACGGCCCAGACUCCUACGGGAGGCAGCAGUGGGGAAUAUUGGACAAUGGGGGGAACCCUGAUCCAGCCAUGCCGCGUGUGUGAAGAAGGUCUUUUGGUUGUAAAGCACUUUAAGCGAGGAGGAGGCUACUAGUAUUAAUACUACUGGAUAGUGGACGUUACUCGCAGAAUAAGCACCGGCUAACUCUGUGCCAGCAGCCGCGGUAAUACAGAGGGUGCGAGCGUUAAUCGGAUUUACUGGGCGUAAAGCGUGCGUAGGUGGCCAAUUAAGUCAAAUGUGAAAUCCCCGAGCUUAACUUGGGAAUUGCAUUCGAUACUGGUUGGCUAGAGUAUGGGAGAGGAUGGUAGAAUUCCAGGUGUAGCGGUGAAAUGCGUAGAGAUCUGGAGG